AUGAAUUGCUGCUGGUGGGAAAACAGUAGAGGUACUUUGGGGAACACCCUGGACCCUGGACUUUCUCGAUCUGAAAGCCCUUUGCUGUCCAUGACCGGUCUUUCCCUGACGGGGCCGUUGGCUGAGCCGGGGCAACGUUUAUCUUCUGUGAUAAACAAGGAGACUAAGCUGGAGAGGCUGAGAAACGCUCCCCCAGCAACAGGACCUGGCCCUACUCACCGGCCCACAGACACGGAGAAGGGGGCACGGCGACAGUGUCCUGGGCCACCGCUGCUCUGGCCUGGCACCCACUUUCUGGUCGCUUCCCCACCAGGGGGUGCAGGGCCCCGGUCGAGCUGGAUGAAAGAGGACUCCCGGCCUCGGUCUGCCAGCUUUUUGGAAAGCUGAAGAGCUCCUAAGAAAACCUGUCGUUAGCUGUCAUUCGACACGUUGGGCAAAACCCGCAACCAAGCACUUGGAAGGGUGGCUUUAGGAACACUCACCAGACCUCCUUUCUCAUUCUCAUACCCGGCAACCGCGUGGCCCGUCUCAGGGAGCCACCAUCACGUUGGUCUAUCUCUGCACAGCUGCUCAAGUACGGGUUCCAUCCCAGGAAGCCUGAGGAAGCAGGAAGUCAUCUUAGCUGAGGAAACAGACACUCUGAGCAUCCAUUCCCUGUAACCUGCUUCGUUUCCUAGGCCUUCGUACAAAAUCAAUGCCAAGGUUAAAAAAAUCUAACCAUGGGUUGGGAACAAGGCCUGGAUAUUAUUCCAAGCUCUGGCACAGGCAUGCAGUUUGUCCCUGGGCAAAUUCCUUAGCCUGUCUCUGCCUCAGUCUCAUCAUUCACAGAAUGCUGGGUAAGGAAGGGUACUUCCUUCUCGUUAUUAUGAAAGACAAGCUGUGCUUACGUCCUUCUGCAAAAUGGGACGCCGCUUUCCUAGGAAGGGUACCAGUCAAUACCAGGGUAUGUAUCUUAAAGAGAUAAUCAGAUUAAAAGCAGCAUGGAAUAUACAAAGAAAAAUGAUUGAAUUUCCUAGUGGACCAGGCAUAUUGCUGCCCUUUGGGUCCAAACGAAAAAGUAUAUCUUGAAUUACUGAAAUUUUCUCUUUUUUAAAUUUUUUUUACUUUAUUUUUUGUCUUUUUGCCAUUUCUUGGGCCGCUCCCGUGGCAUAUGGAGGUUCCCAGGCUAGGGGUCAAAUCGGAGCUGUAGCCGACAGCCUACACCAGAGCCAGAGCAAUGCCAGAUCCGAGCCGCAUCUGCGACCUACACCACAGCUCACGGUGACACCGGAUCCUUAACCCUCUGAGCAAGGGCAGGGAUCGAACCAGCAACCUCAUGGUUCCUAGUCGGAUUCGUUAACCAUUGCUCCACGACGGAAACUCCCUGAAAUUUUCUUUCUUGCCUCAUCUAAUACAUGACAGAUUCUAAGUGUCAUUCUUACACCUCAUCCAUUAGUAAUUGCUCACUAAAUCGAAAUACUUGCUACUUUUUCUGGUUGACUGUAUCUAGAACAUUUCCCAGUGUGUUUCAUUCAUUAUUGUACUCAACACGUUUGCUGCAUGAAUAGAUGACUGUGUUGCAUGCUUAUACCGCAAAUUAACAUUUUUUCUUCGUUAGGCACUAUGUUUCUAAUUUCUUGUUUUAUUAAGUAAUGCUGCAAUGUACUAUCUUAUGCAUCAAUAUCUUCCCAGAAAUCUGGUUACCUACUUAAAGCUCAAUCACUGUGAUUUAGAAUUUUGUAGAACAAAAAAGGAAAGCAGUAUACACAAAGAAAAAGAAUAUAUACAAGUGAAACAAACCACAUGGUUAGAAAAUCACAAUAAAAAAUCUGUAAAUGUUAACACUGGUUAUUUCUUGAUAGUGAAAUUAUUGAUGAUUUUCACGUAGAAGUCAUAAUCAGAAAAAAAUCUAUUUAAAAAAUCUGUGAUCCUCGGUCAGUGAAAGACAAUUUAGUAUUUCCUUGCAUGCUACAAUGUUUCUCGCGUUUUGGCCGUGGGUUCUCAAAAACGUGCAGCCCAGCUCAGAAAAGUACAGCAGGUCAGGAGGGGCAGGAACCGCCCCCAGGUGCUCGCAGACGCACCACCAGAUUAAUUGGUGAAAUAAAAGGCGUGCGGCCGAAACCUCAGGGGAUCGGGCCCAAAGCCCAAACCUGAUUCUCCAGGAGCUUUUUAUUAACGGAGGUCAGGACACUGACGCGCCUGGAGUCUGGACCGGAGUCCAGAACCCGGAGUCUAGAACCCGG
RNAcentral lists this long non-coding RNA (2222 nucleotides) under Sus scrofa (pig). RNAcentral describes it as "lncRNA (ENSSSCG00045028668.1)". The record is from RNAcentral. Lineage: Eukaryota; Metazoa; Chordata; Mammalia; Artiodactyla; Suidae.